GGAGUUAGCCGGGGUUUCGUUUACCAGGUACUGUCAUUAUCAUCCCUGGCGAAAGAGCUUUACGACCCUAAGGCCUUCUUCACUCACGCGGCAUGGCUAGAUCAGGCUUGCGCCCAUUGUCUAAGAUUCCCCA
This 133-nucleotide ribosomal RNA is filed under the name uncultured bacterium. RNAcentral's name for it is "partial 16S ribosomal RNA". The record is from RNAcentral.